AUGAAUAAACUUGGUCAAGCUGUUGCUGGUCCUUCGGGACAUGUGCACGCUUGCCACCAAUUUUAACCACCUGUGCACCUUUUGUAGACUAGAAACGUUUCUCGAGGCAACUCGGAUUGAGAACUGCUGUGCGCAAGCCGGCUGUUCUUGUGUUUCUUAGUCUAUGUUUCAUAUACUCCGAAUGUAUGUAUUAGAAUGUAUUGCUAGGCCUUAGUGCCUUUAAAUUAAAUA
Molecule: unclassified non-coding RNA, 231 nt
Filed under: uncultured Clitopilus
Lineage: Eukaryota; Fungi; Basidiomycota; Agaricomycetes; Agaricales; Entolomataceae
Description: sequence contains ITS1
Source: RNAcentral